Molecule: ribosomal RNA, 1151 nt
Filed under: Salmonella enterica subsp. enterica serovar Typhimurium
Lineage: Bacteria; Pseudomonadati; Pseudomonadota; Gammaproteobacteria; Enterobacterales; Enterobacteriaceae
Description: bacterial LSU rRNA
Rfam family: Bacterial large subunit ribosomal RNA
Source: RNAcentral
UGUUAUCACGGGAGACACACGGCGGGUGCUAACGUCCGUCGUGAAGAGGGAAACAACCCAGACCGCCAGCUAAGGUCCCAAAGUCAUGGUUAAGUGGGAAACGAUGUGGGAAGGCCCAGACAGCCAGGAUGUUGGCUUAGAAGCAGCCAUCAUUUAAAGAAAGCGUAAUAGCUCACUGGUCGAGUCGGCCUGCGCGGAAGAUGUAACGGGGCUAAACCAUGCACCGAAGCUGCGGCAGCGAACGUAUCACUUAAAGCGAUUCAGCGGGUUACGAUUGACGGAGCGAAGCGACGUCAAAGCGUAUACAAAGUCGAGUCGGUUUAAGGAUACGUUCGUUGGGUAGGGGAGCGUUCUGUAAGCCCGUGAAGGUGGCCUGUGAGGGUUGCUGGAGGUAUCAGAAGUGCGAAUGCUGACAUAAGUAACGAUAAAGCGGGUGAAAAGCCCGCUCGCCGGAAGACCAAGGGUUCCUGUCCAACGUUAAUCGGGGCAGGGUGAGUCGACCCCUAAGGCGAGGCCGAAAGGCGUAGUCGAUGGGAAACGGGUUAAUAUUCCCGUACUUGGUGUUACUGCGAAGGGGGGACGGAGAAGGCUAUGUUGGCCGGGCGACGGUUGUCCCGGUUUAAGCGUGUAGGUGUGUGUUCCAGGUAAAUCCGGUUCACUUUAACACUGAGGCGUGAUGACGAGGCACUACGGUGCUGAAGCAACAAAUGCCCUGCUUCCAGGAAAAGCCUCUAAGCAUCAGGUAACAUCAAAUCGUACCCCAAACCGACACAGGUGGUCAGGUAGAGAAUACCAAGGCGCUUGAGAGAACUCGGGUGAAGGAACUAGGCAAAAUGGUGCCGUAACUUCGGGAGAAGGCACGCUGACACGUAGGUGAAGUGAUUUACUCACGGAGCUGAAGUCAGUCGAAGAUACCAGCUGGCUGCAACUGUUUAUUAAAAACACAGCACUGUGCAAACACGAAAGUGGACGUAUACGGUGUGACGCCUGCCCGGUGCCGGAAGGUUAAUUGAUGGGGUCAGCGCAAGCGAAGCUCCUGAUCGAAGCCCCGGUAAACGGCGGCCGUAACUAUAACGGUCCUAAGGUAGCGAAAUUCCUUGUCGGGUAAGUUCCGACCUGCACGAAUGGCGUAAUGAUGGCCAGGCUGUCUC